This 445-nucleotide ribosomal RNA is filed under the name uncultured bacterium. RNAcentral describes it as "partial 16S ribosomal RNA". It matches the Rfam family "Bacterial small subunit ribosomal RNA", at positions 354 to 796 of the family's 1533-position model. The record is from RNAcentral.
GUGAGGAAUAUUGGUCAAUGGGCGGAAGCCUGAACCAGCCAUCCCGCGUGGAGGAAGACGGCCCUAUGGGUUGUAAACUUCUUUUCAAGGGGAAGAAAGUUCGCGACGUGUCGCGAUUUGCCGGUACCUUUGGAAUAAGCAUCGGCUAACUCCGUGCCAGCAGCCGCGGUAAUACGGAGGAUGCGAGCGUUAUCCGGAUUUAUUGGGUUUAAAGGGUGCGUAGGCCGAUCGAUAAGUCAGCGGUGAAAUACCAUGGCCCAACCAUGGAACUGCCGUUGAUACGGUCGGUCUUGAAUAUGGUCAAGGUAGGCGGAAUGUGUAAUGUAGCGGUGAAAUGCUUAGAUAUUACACAGAACACCGAUUGCGAAGGCAGCUUACUGGUCCAUUAUUGACGCUGAGGCACGAAAGCGUGGGGAUCGAACAGGAUUAGAAACCCGGGUAGUCC